This 3268-nucleotide ribosomal RNA is filed under the name Bangia fuscopurpurea. Its description in RNAcentral is "SSU rRNA". The stretch from base 1 to 2176 matches the Rfam family "Eukaryotic small subunit ribosomal RNA". The record is from RNAcentral. Lineage: Eukaryota; Rhodophyta; Bangiophyceae; Bangiales; Bangiaceae.
UAGUAAUUCUAGAGCUAAUACAUGCCUACACGCCCGACUUCGGAAGGGUGGUAUUUAUUAGAUAAAAAACCAUCGCACUCUCGGGUGCUUUGAGAUGAUUCAUAAUAACUUUCUCGGAUCGCAUGGCCUUGUGCCGGCGACGGUUCAUUCAAAUUUCUGCCCUAUCAACUUUCGAUGGUAGAGUCGUGGUCUACCAUGGUGUCGACGGGUGACGGGGAAUUAGGGUUCGAUUCCGGAGAGGGAGCCUGAGAAACGGCUACCACAUCCAAGGAAGGCAGCAGGCGCGCAAAUUACCCAAUCCCGAUCCGGGGAGGUAGUGACAAGAAAUAACAAUAGGAGGCCAUUUACGGUCUUCUAAUUGGAAUGAGAAAAAUUUAAAUCCCUUAUCGAGGAUCCAUUGGAGGGCAAGUCUGGUGAACAACGCAUGCGCAUAUGCUUCAAGCCCUCGUUAAAAUAAAAUCGCGCCAGGUGUCGUUUGUGAUCAUGCAGCAAGAGAGUGAGCGCUCCAGCUCUGUUCUCUGUCCUAUGCAUGUGUCGCAAAGCGGCAAAAGAUGGGACAAAAAGAGCCCCCAUCAUACACUUCGAAAUUGUCGGGGAGUGCCCGUUAAGCUUUGACUACCGCGGUCCGCCGAGAGGUGAGGGCGAGCAAUCGCUCAGGACGCAGCAGUGUGACGUAGUGGUACACGGAUGGUAAAAACGUCAAAGAUAGGGUUGAUCCGCAGGGAAGCGCGAGUGCUCAUGUUGUUUGUAUGAGCAAAGGCGAACCUUCAGAGACUCUAAUGAAGUGGGCGAAAGCUUAAGGGAGAGUCCAAUCCACGGGGAGACCCGGUCCACAGGAGUAAGAGGGCGUUGCUCACCCCCGAGGACUGUGGAUGGAGACAGAGUGUUAGCACCUGCCUUCAGGUAGUCAAUGGCCAGCAGCCGCGGUAAUUCCAGCUCCAAUAGCGUAUAUUAAAGUUGUUGCAGUUAAAACGCUCGUAGUCGGACUUCGGAGCGCUCCCACUGGGCCGGCUUCUGCCGUUGUUCUGGUGGGGGUUCGUCUCCUAUGCCGGGACGCAGCGGUGUUGGGGCCUUAAUUGUCUCUGGCACCGAUCAACUGCGGGCCGGUCUUUUACUGUGAAGAAAGGAAAGUGUUCAAAGCAGGCCAACGCCUUGAAUUUGUGAGCAUGGAAUAAUAGAAUAGGACUUGGGCUCUAUUUUGUUGGUUUUCUGUGACCAAGUAAUGAUUAAUAGGGACAGUUGGGGGCAUUCGUAUUUCAUUGUCAGAGGUGAAAUUCUUGGAUUGAUGGAAGACGAACAACUGCGAAAGCAUCUGCCAUGGAUGUUUUCAUUGAUCAAGAACGAAAGUUAGGGGAUCGAAGACGAUCAGAUACCGUCGUAGUCUUAACCAUAAACGAUGCCGACUGGGGAUUGGCGAGGCUACUAUUUAAUGACCUCGUCAGCACCCUGAGGGAAACCAAAGUCUUUGGGUUCUGGGGGGAGUAUGGUCGCAAGGCUGAAACUUAAAGGAAUUGACGGAAGGGCACCACCAGGAGUGGAGCCUGCGGCUUAAUUUGACUCAACACGGGAAAACUUACCAGGUCCGGACAAAAGAAUGAUUGACAGACUGAAAGCUCUUUCUUGAUUUUUUGGUUGGUGGUGCAUGGCCGUUCUUAGUUGGUGGAGUGAUUUGUCUGGUUAAUUCCGUUAACGAACGAGACCUCGUCCUGCUAAAUAGAUGUGCGCAUGCCAGUACUGCGUUCGUAUCUUCUUAGAGGGACUAUGCGCGUCUAGCGUAUGGAAGAUUGAGGCAAUAACAGGUCUGUGAUGCCCUUAGAUGUUCUGGGCCGCACGCGCGCUACACUGAUGCAUUCAACGAGUUCCACUUUACAGCCCUGGGCCGGAAGUCCUGGGUAAUCUUUUGAAACUGCAUCGUGCUGGGGAUAGAUCAUUGCAAUUAUUGAUCUUUAACGAGGAAUUCCUUGUAGGCGCAGGUCAUCAGCCUGCGUCGAAUACGUCCCUGCCCUUUGUACACACCGCCCGUCGCUCCUACCGAUUGAAUGGUCCGAUGAAGUGUCCGGAUCGUGGCUAGUGUGAUGGAACUUGUUCCAGAGCACGUGCUUUGAGAAGUGCAUUAAAUCUUAUCAUUUAGAGGAAGGAGAAGUCGUAACAAGGUUUCCGUAUUGGGACAACAGCACACACAGACACGCGUCCUCCCCCCAAAAAAGGUGUGUGGGCGUUUCUAUGUGUGUGUGCGUGUGUGAUCCUUCUGUGGGAAAACGUACAUGAAGCCUUUGCGGCCCGAAAGGGUGCACAGUACGCGACUUUAAAUACUGAUUCUGUGGUCAACGCAAGCGGCGCUUCGCACUCUCUUGGUAUAAAGAGGCAUGUGAUGGAAGCCGCGACUUUCUCAAAUUGCGGGAACACCCUAAAGCCAGAAGAUACCGCGGUCUGUUGGACAACAACAGGCGACAGCAGUCGGGGUAGUGCCCUGAUGGAUGGUAACAACUCUUCUGGAUCGCUCUCUCAAAAGUAAAGGCAAUGGGCAAUCCGCAGCCAAGCUCCAUAGUCCCUCCCCCCCUCAAGGGAGAGACUGGAGAAGGUUCACAGACUGUAAGGGAAGGGGUCUUUUUUUUUAUAGAAAAGGCUUAAGAGACAGUCGGUCCCCUGCGAAAGCAGAGUCUCAUGUGAGGAAGGCGCUCAUGAAAAGUGAGUGCUGGAGAGCCAUGGGAGCUCGACUACCACUAGUCGAGUGGGGAGUUUUCCUAGAUGAAACAAACACGUUCCGUAGGUGAACCUGCGGAAGGAUCAUUCACAAACAAUAUGGGGUCUUCCUAGACACCAAAAUCACCAACACACAUGCGAAAAUGACUGUGCGAGUAAAACAGCUAUGCCUCUUGUCUUGGACCAUUCCUAGACCCGAGGAUCAGUGAUGUUGUUGUUGUUUGUUGUGUUGCCUCUUCCAUUUCCACCUUGGCUGUUGCUAUCCUUUCUCUUUGUGUUCUGUCGCCGUGCUGUUGUUUUGUUGCAUAGACUGACCGGGGGGCGGUUGACACCAACAUCUUUGGGUGUUUGUGUGUUCUCCCAAUCUCUUGUUCCGCCGUGCUUUCUACUAUGUUAGUGCGGACCCUUCUUCGAUCCCGAAGCUACAAGCAUUACGUUUGUACCUACACUCGGGUUCACGGGCUUUACUGGGGACUUGGUCGUCCAUGAUUGCAACCAACAAUGCGUGUUCUGGCACAAACAAAAGGUGCACAGUAGUAGCCCAAGGUGCGGCUUUGAUGAGACA